AUGACCGUUGGGCGCUGCCCCCUGCCGAGAUCCCAGAUAUACCUCUUCUCCCACGCCACCAGGAAGACGACGCUCUCACAUCUCCCGGUCCCCACGAAUCCCCGCCCCUACCCCUCGACGACAUUCUCGUCCUCCCCCGUGCUCACGCGCUCCACGCUUGCCCUUGCCCCCGCGCGGCGAGCGGAGCGGUCGGGAGGUUUGAUCUGCGCCGCCAUGGCGAUGGACUUGGUGUCGCCUGGGCCGCCGCCCAACUGGAGGGAGAUCAUCAGAUCGAGUUGGAAGGAUCCAAAUUACAAAAGGAUGGUAAUGGCAUGCUUCAUUCAGGCAGUCUACCUUCUUGAAAUAGACAGACAAGAUCAGAAAGGAGAAGAGGAUGGCCUUGCUCCAAAAUGGUGGAAGCCCUUCAAGUACAAGGUCACACAGACACUGGUGGACGAGAGAGAUGGCUCCAUAUACGGCGCCGUCCUUGAGUGGGACCGGUCUUCUGCAUUGUCUGAUCUUAUCCUCCUAAGACCAAGUGGCGCACCAAGGGCCGUGCUAGCUCUCCGAGGAACAUUGCUGCAGAAACCUACAAUUAAAAGAGAUCUACAGGAUGAUCUACGUUUCCUGGUUUGGGAGAGCUUAAAAGGAUCAGUGAGAUAUGUUGGCGCUUUAGAAGCACUGAAGGCUGCAGUUGAGAGAUUUGGGAGCGCAAAUGUUUGCGUCGCAGGGCACUCGUUGGGAGCUGGCUUUGCCCUUCAGGUAUGCAAAGAUCUCGCCAAGCAAGGAAUCUUCGUAGACUGCCAUCUGUUCAAUCCACCUUCUGUUUCACUUGCCAUGAGCCUAAGAAGCAUGAGCGAGAAGGCCAGUCACCUGUGGCAGAAAGUGAAGGCAAGCCUGCCAUUGAAGGAAGAAGCAGCGCUUGACUGUGCAAAAGAGGAUGGCAGCAUCAAGAAGAGACUACGCGCAGAGAAGAAAUGGGUGCCACACUUGUAUGUGAACAACAGUGACUACAUCUGCUGCCACUACAGUGCUCCCUCUUCCUCCGGACCCGACGGGGGUCCGGAUGAGCAGCAGCAGCAGCGCAAGGCGAGCGAGAUUGCUGGUGACGUGGUCGCGAAGCUCUUCGUCACGUCGUCAAAAGGCCCACAGAAGUUCAUGGAGGCGCACGGGCUGGAGCAAUGGUGGUCGGAUGGGAUGGAGCUGCUGGCUGUGUCUGACAGCAAGCUUAUACACAGGCAGCUGAAGUCUCUAUACUCGUCCACAGCAGUACCACCUCCUACAAAGUCAUAG
This 1272-nucleotide ribosomal RNA is filed under the name Triticum aestivum (bread wheat). RNAcentral describes it as "partial small subunit ribosomal RNA". The record is from RNAcentral. Lineage: Eukaryota; Viridiplantae; Streptophyta; Magnoliopsida; Poales; Poaceae.